This 953-nucleotide ribosomal RNA is filed under the name Enterobacter soli. RNAcentral's name for it is "bacterial SSU rRNA". It matches the Rfam family "Bacterial small subunit ribosomal RNA", at positions 34 to 973 of the family's 1533-position model. The record is from RNAcentral. Lineage: Bacteria; Pseudomonadati; Pseudomonadota; Gammaproteobacteria; Enterobacterales; Enterobacteriaceae.
UGCCUAGGCCGUACGGCAUCACAUGCAAGUCGAAGCGGUAACACAGGGAGCUUGCUCCUGGGUGACGAGCGGCGGACGGGUGAGUAAUGUCUGGGAAACUGCCCGAUGGAGGGGGAUAACUACUGGAAACGGUAGCUAAUACCGCAUAACGUCGCAAGACCAAAGAGGGGGACCUUCGGGCCUCUUGCCAUCGGAUGUGCCCAGAUGGGAUUAGCUAGUAGGUGGGGUAACGGCUCACCUAGGCGACGAUCCCUAGCUGGUCUGAGAGGAUGACCAGCCACACUGGAACUGAGACACGGUCCAGACUCCUACGGGAGGCAGCAGUGGGGAAUAUUGCACAAUGGGCGCAAGCCUGAUGCAGCCAUGCCGCGUGUAUGAAGAAGGCCUUCGGGUUGUAAAGUACUUUCAGCGAGGAGGAAGGCAUUAAGGUUAAUAACCUUGGUGAUUGACGUUACUCGCAGAAGAAGCACCGGCUAACUCCGUGCCAGCAGCCGCGGUAAUACGGAGGGUGCAAGCGUUAAUCGGAAUUACUGGGCGUAAAGCGCACGCAGGCGGUCUGUCAAGUCGGAUGUGAAAUCCCCGGGCUCAACCUGGGAACUGCAUUCGAAACUGGCAGGCUAGAGUCUUGUAGAGGGGGGUAGAAUUCCAGGUGUAGCGGUGAAAUGCGUAGAGAUCUGGAGGAAUACCGGUGGCGAAGGCGGCCCCCUGGACAAAGACUGACGCUCAGGUGCGAAAGCGUGGGGAGCAAACAGGAUUAGAUACCCUGUAGUCCACGCCGUAAACGAUGUCGAUUUGGAGGUUGUUCCCUUGAGGAGUGCUUCCGGAGCUAACGCGUUAAAUCGACCGCCUGGGGAGUACGGCCGCAAGGUUAAAACUCAAAUGAAAUUGACGGGGGCCGCACAAGCGGUGGAGCAUGGUGGUUUAAUUCGAAUGCCAACCGCCGAAGAACCCUA